CUGACGAUCAAACCCC
Molecule: ribosomal RNA, 16 nt
Filed under: Hygrocybe aff. flavescens KWH-2011
Lineage: Eukaryota; Fungi; Basidiomycota; Agaricomycetes; Agaricales; Hygrophoraceae
Description: partial large subunit ribosomal RNA
Source: RNAcentral